This 460-nucleotide ribosomal RNA is filed under the name uncultured Desulfocapsa sp. RNAcentral's name for it is "bacterial SSU rRNA". It matches the Rfam family "Bacterial small subunit ribosomal RNA", at positions 924 to 1382 of the family's 1533-position model. Lineage: Bacteria; Pseudomonadati; Thermodesulfobacteriota; Desulfobulbia; Desulfobulbales; Desulfocapsaceae. The record is from RNAcentral.
CACAAGCGGUGGAGUAUAGUGGUUAAUCGACGCAACGCGCAGAACCUUACCUGGUCUUGACAUCCCGGGAAUUUCCUUGAAAGAGGGAAGUGCCUCGCAAGAGGAGCCUGGAGACAGGUGCUGCAUGGCUGUCGUCAGCUCGUGUCGUGAGAUGUUGGGUUAAGUCCCGCAACGAGCGCAACCCUUGUCUUUAGUUGCCAUCAUUCAGUUGGGCACUCUAAAGAGACUGCCGGUGUCAAACCGGAGGAAGGUGGGGAUGACGUCAAGUCCUCAUGGCCUUUAUGACCAGGGCUACACACGUACUACAAUGGUUGGUACAACGAGUUGCGAGUCGGUGACGGCGAGCUAAUCUCUUAAAGCCAAUCUCAGUUCGGAUUGUAGGCUGCAACUCGCCUACAUGAAGUCGGAAUCGCUAGUAAUCGCGGAUCAGCACGCCGCGGUGAAUACGUUCCCGGGCCUU